Molecule: unclassified non-coding RNA, 153 nt
Filed under: Trichosporon asahii
Lineage: Eukaryota; Fungi; Basidiomycota; Tremellomycetes; Trichosporonales; Trichosporonaceae
Description: partial ITS1
Rfam family: 5.8S ribosomal RNA (bases 102-153)
Source: RNAcentral
ACUAUAUCCACUUACACCUGUGAACUGUUCUACUACUUGACGCAAGUCGAGUAUUUUUACAAACAAUGUGUAAUGAACGUCGUUUUAUUAUAACAAAAUAAAACUUUCAACAACGGAUCUCUUGGCUCUCGCAUCGAUGAAGAACGCAGNGAA